CCCCGGAUAGCUCAGCGGUAGAGCGGUCGGCUGUAGACCGACAGGUCCUGUGUUCGAACUUGGAAAUCCUUCGGAUUUCCCAAACGAGAAUCACAGUCCGGGGACCA
RNAcentral lists this transfer RNA (107 nucleotides) under archaeon. RNAcentral's name for it is "tRNA-Tyr". It matches the Rfam family "tRNA". Rfam says of the family: Transfer RNA (tRNA) molecules are approximately 80 nucleotides in length. Their secondary structure includes four short double-helical elements and three loops (D, anti-codon, and T loops). Further hydrogen bonds mediate the characteristic L-shaped molecular structure. tRNAs have two regions of fundamental functional importance: the anti-codon, which is responsible for specific mRNA codon recognition, and the 3' end, to which the tRNAs corresponding amino acid is attached (by aminoacyl-tRNA synthetases). tRNAs cope with the degeneracy of the genetic code in two manners: having more than one tRNA (with a specific anti-codon) for a particular amino acid; and 'wobble' base-pairing, i.e. permitting non-standard base-pairing at the 3rd anti-codon position. The record is from RNAcentral.